CCUACGGGAGGCAGCAGUGGGGAAUAUUGCACAAUGGGGGAAACCCUGAUGCAGCGACGCCGCGUGAGUGAAGAAGUAUUUCGGGAUGUAAAGCUCUAUCAGCAGGGAAGAAGAAAGACGGUACCUGACUAAGAAGCCCCGGCUAACUACGUGCCAGCAGCCGCGGUUAUACGUAGGGGGAAAGCGUUAUCCGGAUUUACUGGGGGUAAAGGGAGCGUAGACGGCUGUGCAAGUCUGAAGGGAAAGCCCAGGGCUCAACCCUGGGAGUGCUUUGGAAACUGUGGAGCUAGAGUGCUGGAGAGGUAAGUGGAAUUCCUAGUGUAGCGGUGAAAUGCGUAGAUAUUAGGAGGAACACCAGUGGCGAAGGCGGCGUACUGGACAGUAACUGACGUUGAGGCUCGAAAGCGUGGGGAGCAAACAGGAUUAGAUACCCGAGUAGUC
RNAcentral lists this ribosomal RNA (441 nucleotides) under uncultured bacterium. RNAcentral describes it as "partial 16S ribosomal RNA". It matches the Rfam family "Bacterial small subunit ribosomal RNA", at positions 338 to 795 of the family's 1533-position model. The record is from RNAcentral.